GUCAUCACAGGGUUCCUCCUCUUCUGCGUCAGUGUCAUCACAGGCUUCCUCCUCUUCUGCGUCAGUGUCAUCACAGGGUUCCUCCUCUUCUGCGUCAGUGUCAUCACAGGGUUCCUCCUCUUCUGCGUCAGUGUCAUCACAGGGUUCCUCCUCUUCUGCGUCAGUGUCAUCACAGGGUUCCUCCUCUUCUGCGUCAGUGUCAUCACAGGGUUCCUCCUCUUCUGAGCAUUCAUUAUCCCACCCGGGCAAUUAAACCAAGGUCAGCAUUCAUUAUCCCACCCGGGCAAUUAAACCAAGGUCAGCAUUCAUUAUCCCACCAGGGCAAUUAAGCCAAGGUCAGCAUUCAUUAUCCCACCAGGGCAAUUAAGCCAAGGUCAGCAUUCAUUAUCCCACCAGGGCAAUUAAGCCAAGGUCAGCAUUCAUUAUCCCACCAGGGCAAUUAAGCCAAGGUCAGCAUUCAUUAUCCCACCAGGGCAAUUAAGCCAAGGUCAGCAUUCAUUAUCCCACCAGGGCAAUUAAGCCAAGGUCAGCAUUCAUUAUCCCACCAGGGCAAUUAAGCCAAGGUCAGCAUUCAUUAUCCCACCAGGGCAAUUAAGCCAAGGUCAGCAUUCAUUAUCCCACCAGGGCAAUUAAGCCAAGGUCAGCAUCCCACCCGGGCAAUUAAGCCAAGGUCAGCAUUCAUUAUCCCACCCGGGCAAUUAAGCCAAGGUCAGCAUCCCACCCGGGCAAUUAAGCCAAGGUCAGCAGCCCACCCGGGCAAUUAAGCCAAGGUCAGCAUUCAUUAUCCCACCCUGGCAAUUAAGCCAAGGUCAGCAUCCCACCCGGGCAAUUAAGCCAAGGUCAGCAUCCCACCCUGGCAAUUAAGCCAAGAUCAGCAUCCCACCCUGACAGUCAGGCCAGGGUCAGCAACCCUCCCCAUUUCUCCGGGCUUGGGACCGGCUCUUAGUUGGGCUGGCUUGCCCCCCAAGAGGCUGGGUUGACAGUUUUUCGCCCAUUUCUUCACCUUCAUCAAUAACAACAUUUGUUUUGACGGUCUUCGUAAAAGACAAAGUGGAGGGCUUGACGUCAGCUUCAGUUGUCCUUAAAACAACUGUAGUUUCCUGUUUCUCUACUAACCAAGUUCUUCGUUACUAACUUCUGUUUCAAACGUCUUCACCGUUUUGUUUGAGGGUAACUUCUUCCUCAAUGUGUGCCCGUGAUUCGUUAUCACUCAGUACUUUACGUGUGUCCCUCCUUCAAAAUCGUGAUGAUGGUUAGGGCAACGUAUAUAUUGAGGGCAUUUAGUGUUGGCUGCCUCUUCGGACCGCCUGCAGGGGCCGGGGACCUCCUCAAGGCCCCUCAGUAACGUCGUCUCUGUCGUGAGGGGGCCCGAGGCUUCCCCCUCGGACCCCGUCCCCAGCAGGAAAACUGUCUGGCUCUUCACAAAUUGCCAAGACGAAGAUAAUUUUAAUAUUGGGUUAAAGUGUGUUAAUGCUGAUGAACCGAGGUUGUCAAUUCUAGGAUGGAAAACCGAAUGGACUCCUGACCGAGGAUUCAGCAUCGAAAAACUCCUCUUGCAACUCCGUCCGGCCGAGACCGUUUCUUUAAAGAAGGGAAUACCUAGUAAACAGAAAACUGUAUUUCGGGGUUUGUUGGUCUUUA
Eriocheir sinensis (Chinese mitten crab) is the source of this 1641-nucleotide long non-coding RNA. RefSeq lists it as uncharacterized. The transcript is spliced from 3 exons. Lineage: Eukaryota; Metazoa; Arthropoda; Malacostraca; Decapoda; Varunidae. The record is from RefSeq and is a predicted model, not a curated record.